Molecule: long non-coding RNA, 526 nt
Organism: Artibeus jamaicensis (Jamaican fruit-eating bat)
Lineage: Eukaryota; Metazoa; Chordata; Mammalia; Chiroptera; Phyllostomidae
Exons: 3
Source: RefSeq, a predicted model, not a curated record
AGAGGCCAUUUGUGGGCACGGAGAGAUGGCAGUCAUUUACAGGACUUGGAGAGCCUCAGAAUAAACCCUGUCUUGCUGGUACCUUGAUCUUGGACUUCCAGCCUCCAGAACUGUAAGAAAGUUCAUUUCUGUUGUCAUUUUGUUACGGCAGCCCUAGCAGACUAAUGCUAUCUCGGAAAAAGAAUGAUAAGCCUGUAUUACAUUAUAUAUCUGGCUAAGCCAAUUCUACGACUUCACAGAGACUCCAGCCUGUGCAGGAAGUCUGUUCUUAAAAACAUCCUCAAAGGGAAACAUUUUUACCAAUGUGGAAGAGGUGAAACAAAAAAUGGCAGAAGCACUAAAAGAUACCAAAAUUGAAGAGUUCAAAAACUGGUUUGAGCAGUGGAACAAAGAUCUCAAGAGAUGCAUUUCAUCAAAGGGAGAGUACUAUGAAGGUGACUGAAGUUUAAACAUGUAAAAAUAAACACACACUUUCUUAGAAAUAAAUUCUGGGGUUUUGGAGUGCCACCUCAUAAUUGUUACAUAG